This 301-nucleotide ribosomal RNA is filed under the name uncultured bacterium. Its description in RNAcentral is "bacterial SSU rRNA". It matches the Rfam family "Bacterial small subunit ribosomal RNA", at positions 505 to 805 of the family's 1533-position model. The record is from RNAcentral.
GUGUCAGCCGCCGCGGUAAUACGUAGGGUGCAAGCGUUAAUCGGAAUUACUGGGCGUAAAGCGUGCGCAGGCGGUUUGGUAAGUCAGAUGUGAAAUCCCCGGGCUCAACCUGGGAACUGCGUUUGAAACUACAAGGCUUGAGUGUAGCAGAGGGGGGUAGAAUUCCUCGUGUAGCAGUGAAAUGCGUAGAUAUUCGGAGGAAUACCGAUGGCGAAGGCAAUCUCCUGGGCCUGCACUGACGCUCAUGCACGAAAGCGUGGGGAGCGAACAGGAUUAGAUACCCUGGUAGUCCACGCCGUAA